GGAAACAGAUGCUAAUACCGCAUAACAACUUGGACCGCAUGGUCCGAGCUUGAAAGAUGGCUUCGGCUAUCACUUUUGGAUGGUCCCGCGGCGUAUUAGCUAGAUGGUGGGGUAACGGCUCACCAUGGCAAUGAUACGUAGCCGACCUGAGAGGGUAAUCGGCCACAUUGGGACUGAGACACGGCCCAAACUCCUACGGGAGGCAGCAGUAGGGAAUCUUCCACAAUGGACGAAAGUCUGAUGGAGCAACGCCGCGUGAGUGAAGAAGGGUUUCGGCUCGUAAAACUCUGUUGUUAAAGAAGAACAUAUCUGAGAGUAACUGUUCAGGUAUUGACGGUAUUUAACCAGAAAGCCACGGCUAACUACGUGCCAGCAGCCGCGGUAAUACGUAGGUGGCAAGCGUUGUCCGGAUUUAUUGGGCGUAAAGCGAGCGCAGGCGGUUUUUUAAGUCUGAUGUGAAAGCCUUCGGCUCAACCGAAGAAGUGCAUCGGAAACUGGGAAACUUGAGUGCAGAAGAGGACAGUGGAACUCCAUGUGUAGCGGUGAAAU
Molecule: ribosomal RNA, 549 nt
Filed under: uncultured bacterium
Lineage: Bacteria
Description: bacterial SSU rRNA
Rfam family: Bacterial small subunit ribosomal RNA
Source: RNAcentral